UUGAAAGGGAAACGAUUGAAGUCAGUCGUACCAGCGGGAAUCAACCUUUCGAGUGGGGGUUUUGGAGUUUUGAAGAGUGUCAAAACCUUUGAGAUUUCAAAAUAUUCGCUCUUUUGGUGUACUUUCUCGUGGGUAGGUUAACAUCGAUUUUGAUCAUCAUAAAAAGAUUGGAGGAAUGUAGCUUCGAUCUUGUAUUGAAGUGUUAUAGCCUUUGGUAAAUGUGAUGAUUAGGAUCGAGGAUUGCAACGAAUACCCUUUUGGGCUAUCCGCCUGAUCUCUGAUACGUGGCCUUGGUAUCGAAAGCUUGCUUAUGGUAUUAAGGUAUUACGGUCAAAAGGUUAGAACGGAUUACAUUCGUUAAGGAUGUUGACGUA
Molecule: ribosomal RNA, 374 nt
Filed under: uncultured Glomeromycotina
Lineage: Eukaryota; Fungi; Glomeromycota
Description: LSU rRNA
Source: RNAcentral